GUAGGGAAUAUUGGGCAAUGGUCGGAAGACUGACCCAGCCAUGCCGCGUGCAGGAAGACGGCCCUCUGGGUUGUAAACUGCUUUUAUCUGGGAAGAAAAAGGCCAUGCGUGGCAAAUUGCCGGUACCAGAUGAAUAAGCACCGGCUAACUCCGUGCCAGCAGCCGCGGUAAUACGGAGGGUGCGAGCGUGGGCCGGAUUUAUUUGGGUUAAAGGGUGCGUAGGCGGCUGAUUAAGUCAGCGGUGAAAGACUUCGGCUUAACCGGAGCAGUGCCGUUGAUACUGGUUGGCUUGAGUGUCGGAGGGGUACAUGGAAUUGAUGGUGUAGCGGUGAAAUGCAUAGAUACCAUCAGGAACACCGAUAGCGAAGGCAUUGUACUGGCCGACAACUGACGCUGAUGCACGAAAGUGUGGGGAUCGAACAGGAUUAGAAACCCUAGUAGUCC
RNAcentral lists this ribosomal RNA (444 nucleotides) under uncultured bacterium. Its description in RNAcentral is "bacterial SSU rRNA". It matches the Rfam family "Bacterial small subunit ribosomal RNA", at positions 354 to 796 of the family's 1533-position model. The record is from RNAcentral.